CCCACUCCCAGGGCACCAUAUUGAUGCCGAAC
This 32-nucleotide non-coding RNA is filed under the name Homo sapiens (human). The record is from RNAcentral. Lineage: Eukaryota; Metazoa; Chordata; Mammalia; Primates; Hominidae.